RNAcentral lists this small nucleolar RNA (96 nucleotides) under Lachancea thermotolerans CBS 6340. The record is from RNAcentral. Lineage: Eukaryota; Fungi; Ascomycota; Saccharomycetes; Saccharomycetales; Saccharomycetaceae.
CUAAAUGAUGAUCCCAUAUUCACACUGUGUGAGGCCCAGUUUAGUUACUGGGCUUAUGAUCACAACAACCAAAAUACUGAUUUAAUGACUCUGAAA